AUGAUCACUAGAGCUGAGUUAGAUCGGCGUCGCCCUCAAGGUUACCACAGCAUCCUCCGAUCGCAGGCUCUCACCAACAAAGGACUGGAAUCAACCGAAAAGAAAUGGAUGUCUCCAAGAUCAAAGGAGCUCCACACCACGAGUCUGUCUGGUAUUGCCUUGACCAAGAAUCCAACUAACCUUACUGCUCAAAAGAUUGAAUUCACUUUUAAUUCCUUGCCAUACUGA
Molecule: non-coding RNA, 228 nt
Organism: Vicia faba (fava bean)
Lineage: Eukaryota; Viridiplantae; Streptophyta; Magnoliopsida; Fabales; Fabaceae
Source: the annotation of a GenBank genome assembly